Molecule: transfer RNA, 72 nt
Organism: Ovis aries (sheep)
Lineage: Eukaryota; Metazoa; Chordata; Mammalia; Artiodactyla; Bovidae
Rfam family: tRNA
About the family: Transfer RNA (tRNA) molecules are approximately 80 nucleotides in length. Their secondary structure includes four short double-helical elements and three loops (D, anti-codon, and T loops). Further hydrogen bonds mediate the characteristic L-shaped molecular structure. tRNAs have two regions of fundamental functional importance: the anti-codon, which is responsible for specific mRNA codon recognition, and the 3' end, to which the tRNAs corresponding amino acid is attached (by aminoacyl-tRNA synthetases). tRNAs cope with the degeneracy of the genetic code in two manners: having more than one tRNA (with a specific anti-codon) for a particular amino acid; and 'wobble' base-pairing, i.e. permitting non-standard base-pairing at the 3rd anti-codon position.
Source: Rfam
UCCCUGGUGGCUUAGACGGUAAAGCGUCUGUCUACAAUGCAGGAAACCCAGGUUCGAUCCCAGGGUUGGGAA